RNAcentral lists this ribosomal RNA (253 nucleotides) under uncultured bacterium. RNAcentral describes it as "partial 16S ribosomal RNA". It matches the Rfam family "Bacterial small subunit ribosomal RNA", at positions 524 to 776 of the family's 1533-position model. The record is from RNAcentral.
UACGAAGGGGGCUAGCGUUGCUCGGAAUCACUGGGCGUAAAGGGUGCGUAGGCGGGUCUUUAAGUCAGGGGUGAAAUCCUGGAGCUCAACUCCAGAACUGCCUUUGAUACUGAAGAUCUUGAGUUCGGGAGAGGUGAGUGGAACUGCGAGUGUAGAGGUGAAAUGCGCAGAUAUCAGGAGGAACACCGGUGGCGAAGGCGGGUCUCUGGGCUGAAACUGACGCUCAUGCACGAAAGCGUGGGGAGCAAACAGG